AUUGAACGCUGGCGGCAGGCCUAACACAUGCAAGUCGAGCGGAGCGGCGGACGGGUGAGUACUGCCUAGGAAUCUGCCUGGUAGUGGUGGAUAACGUCCGGAAACGGAAGCUAAUACCGCAUACUAUCAGCUGAGCCUAGGUCCGAUUAGCUAGUUGGGGGGGUAAAGGCCUACCAAGCCGACGAUCCUUAACUGGGCUGAGAGGAUGACCAGUCAAACUGGAACUGAGACACGGCCCAGACGCAUACGGGAGGCAGCAGUGGGGAAUCUUGGGCAAUGGGCGAAAGCCUGACCGAGCAACGCCGCGUGAGUGAAGAAGGUUUUCGGAUCGUAAAACUCUGUUGGUAGAGAAGCGGUAACUAACCAGAAAGCAACGGCUAACUACGUGCCAGCAGCCGCGGUAAUAC
This 407-nucleotide ribosomal RNA is filed under the name uncultured bacterium. RNAcentral's name for it is "partial 16S ribosomal RNA". It matches the Rfam family "Bacterial small subunit ribosomal RNA", at positions 30 to 526 of the family's 1533-position model. The record is from RNAcentral.